This 1518-nucleotide long non-coding RNA is filed under the name Fragaria vesca (wild strawberry). RNAcentral's name for it is "long non-coding RNA (FVES_LNC005550)". Lineage: Eukaryota; Viridiplantae; Streptophyta; Magnoliopsida; Rosales; Rosaceae. The record is from RNAcentral.
GACCCAUUUUGGUCUCGAGCUGCUCUGCAGCGACUGAGCUCGGAGGCGUCGUUCGUCAUCCGGCCAUCUCCCAGCGCAAGACCGGCGUUCACAGGUCCGUCUCGGCGUCCCCGACCUCCUUGUGAUUCCAGCUUGAAGAGUGGAGCUCCGGUGAGAGAGAAAAGGAGGAGAGAAGGCGAUUGUGUUUCCGAUCCCGACCACGACGGCGAGCGUGAAUGGUACUGGUAGUCUCAUCUCGUCCUCCCCAUCCUCCCUGUGAUCUUACUUUCAGCAAAGGAGCUCCGGUGAAGGAGAAUCGAAGGAGAGAAGCUUCUGAGUUUUCCGGCGAGGGUUCAGUGUUUUCCGGCGAAGUUGUGUUCGACUCAGGUAUCAAUCUUCAUCUACUCAUCGAGCUCUACCUCUUUGUAUAAUUGAAAUCGUGUUUGGUUGAGAGAUGAAGAAGUUGGGUUUAUGGCAGCGGGUGACCGCCGUGUGUACCAUUGUGCACGGCGGUGGUGGAGGCGUUUCUAUUGUUUUCUGGUUUUGAAUUUGUAUGCUAGAGUUGGAUUGAUGAUUAGUAUGUUGUCUGGAAUUAUUGAAAUUGUAGAAUUGGAGGUAGAGGGCGGAGUUGCAGGUUGUUCGGGUUUACUGCAAGUUUUGGUGAUUUUGGAGUUCAUACUUAUGAGCUGGUUCGAUAUAUGGUAUAAUGGAGUUGUGUUUUCAUCAUUGCCGAAGUAAUUGAGGGACUAGUGAUUGGAAUACAAUUUGGAGAUGAAUCAAGAGGUGGGAGAUUUGGACGACCUAUGUAUGUGUUGGUUAGUAAGAACAAGAAAGUCUUGCUACUACCGUGGAGUUGUGCGACAAUGCAGGAAAGUUACUAACUUUGGAAUUAUUGUUUAUUUGGCUACUGUAAAUGCAAGUUGAAUGAGCUCAGAGGUUAUAAACGUAUUAAAGGUAGGGAUUUAUACAAAGUGUGGGUGUCCAUAGCAAUUUGAAGGAUGGAAUGGAAGAAUUAAUUGGACACUUGUUUUUGGGUGUCCUUAGUAGAUUUCUGAAUUCGGUGUUUAAAAUGAUUCGUCGACAUUCUUGGAAUAAGAGUUCGAUACGAGGAUUUGAGGGCACUUUGCAGUUCUAGAAGCAGAAGGAUAAAGAUUUCAGAAUGCGUGUCGCAGAGAUACUAAUUUUAGUUAGCGUUGGAACUAGCGCUCGGAUUCCAGGUAAGGUUUUUCUCGGGGAACCUUCCUUAAAUUGAUAAUUAAUUUAUAAUUGAAAUGAGUCCAUUGAGUGAUUAACUCUUGGUUGUUAUUGUUUUCGAUAAAAGUAUAUGUAAUCGGUGAUUUAUAUAAUUAAUGUUAUUGCUUUCCAUAAAAACAUGUGUUGGAUGAUAUAUUAUGAAUAUUGAUAUUUGUUGCAUUCAUAAUGCAUUGUGAGGAAUUGUGAGAUUAGUGAGAUUAAUGAUAGUGGAGAAGAUGAGAAUGAGAUCGAGAAAAGAUACAUUUUGUGUAGUUGAGUUUCCUUAUGGGUUGUCCAUGAAUCCAU